Non-coding RNA from Salmo salar (Atlantic salmon), 54 nucleotides. The record is from Rfam. Lineage: Eukaryota; Metazoa; Chordata; Actinopteri; Salmoniformes; Salmonidae.
UGCACUCACUAUUGUAAGUCACUCUCGAUAAGAGUGUCUGCUAAAUGACAAAAA